This 30-nucleotide non-coding RNA is filed under the name Cricetulus griseus (Chinese hamster). Lineage: Eukaryota; Metazoa; Chordata; Mammalia; Rodentia; Cricetidae. The record is from RNAcentral.
AACUUGUUAAGACUGAGUGCAGUGGGACAU